GGGUUGUGAGGUUAAGCGACUAAGCGUACACGGUGGAUGCCCUGGCAGUCAGAGGCGAUGAAGGACGUGCUAAUCUGCGAAAAGCGCCGGCGAGGUGAUAUGAACCCUUGACCCGGCGAUGUCCGAAUGGGGAAACCCAGUGCAAUCCGUUGCACUAUCGUUAACUGAAUACAUAGGUUAACGAGGCGAACCGGGGGAACUGAAACAUCUAAGUACCCCGAGGAAAAGAAAUCAACCGAGAUUCCCCCAGUAGCGGCGAGCGAACGGGGAGCAGCCCGGAGUCUGAAUCAGCUUGUGUGUUAGUGGAACGGUCUGGAAAGUCCGACGGUACAGGGUGAUAGUCCCGUACACGAAAGCACACAUGCUGUGAACUCGAAGAGUAGGGCGGGACACGUGGUAUCCUGUCUGAAUAUGGGGGGACCAUCCUCCAAGGCUAAAUACUCCUGACUGACCGAUAGUGAACCAGUACCGUGAGGGAAAGGCGAAAAGAACCCCGGCGAGGGGAGUGAAAAAGAACCUGAAACCGUGUACGUACAAGCAGUGGGAGCCUCUUUAUGGGGUGACUGCGUACCUUUUGUAUAAUGGGUCAGCGACUUAUAUUCUGUAGCAAGGUUAACCGUAUAGGGGAGCCGAAGGGAAACCGAGUCUUAACUGGGCGUUAAGUUGCAGGGUAUAGACCCGAAACCCGGUGAUCUAGCCAUGGGCAGGUUGAAGGUUGGGUAACACUAACUGGAGGACCGAACCGACUAAUGUUGAAAAAUUAGCGGAUGACCUGUGGCUGGGGGUGAAAGGCCAAUCAAACCGGGAGAUAGCUGGUUCUCCCCGAAAGCUAUUUAGGUAGCGCCUCGUGAACUCAUCUUCGGGGGUAGAGCACUGUUUCGGCUAGGGGGCCAUCCCGGCUUACCAACCCGAUGCAAACUACGAAUACCGAAGAAUGUUAUCACGGGAGACACACGGCGGGUGCUAACGUCCGUCGUGAAGAGGGAAACAACCCAGACCGCCAGCUAAGGUCCCAAAGUCAUGGUUAAGUGGGAAACGAUGUGGGAAGGCACAGACAGCCAGGAUGUUGGCUUAGAAGCAGCCAUCAUUUAAAGAAAGCGUAAUAGCUCACUGGUCGAGUCGGCCUGCGCGGAAGAUGUAACGGGGCUAAACCAUGCACCGAAGCUGCGGCAGCGACACUAUGUGUUGUUGGGUAGGGGAGCGUUCUGUAAGCCGUUGAAGGUGUGCUGUGAGGCAUGCUGGAGGUAUCAGAAGUGCGAAUGCUGACAUAAGUAACGAUAAAGCGGGUGAAAAGCCCGCUCGCCGGAAGACCAAGGGUUCCUGUCCAACGUUAAUCGGGGCAGGGUGAGUCGACCCCUAAGGCGAGGCCGAAAGGCGUAGUCGAUGGGAAACAGGUUAAUAUUCCUGUACUUGGUGUUACUGCGAAGGGGGGACGGAGAAGGCUAUGUCAGCCGGGCGACGGUUGUCCCGGUUUAAGCAUGUAGGCGGAGGUUCCAGGUAAAUCCGGUACCUUGUUAACGCUGAGGUGUGAUGACGAGGCACUACGGUGCUGAAGUGAUAAAUGCCCUGCUUCCAGGAAAAGCCUCUAAGCAUCAGGUAACACGAAAUCGUACCCCAAACCGACACAGGUGGUCAGGUAGAGAAUACCAAGGCGCUUGAGAGAACUCGGGUGAAGGAACUAGGCAAAAUGGUGCCGUAACUUCGGGAGAAGGCACGCUGAUAUGUAGGUGAAGCCCCUGCGGGUGGAGCUGAAAUCAGUCGAAGAUACCAGCUGGCUGCAACUGUUUAUUAAAAACACAGCACUGUGCAAACACGAAAGUGGACGUAUACGGUGUGACGCCUGCCCGGUGCCGGAAGGUUAAUUGAUGGGGUUAGCGGCAACGCGAAGCUCUUGAUCGAAGCCCCGGUAAACGGCGGCCGUAACUAUAACGGUCCUAAGGUAGCGAAAUUCCUUGUCGGGUAAGUUCCGACCUGCACGAAUGGCGUAAUGAUGGCCAGGCUGUCUCCACCCGAGACUCAGUGAAAUUGAACUCGCUGUGAAGAUGCAGUGUACCCGCGGCAAGACGGAAAGACCCCGUGAACCUUUACUAUAGCUUGACACUGAACACUGGUCCUUGAUGUGUAGGAUAGGUGGGAGGCUUUGAAGCGUGGACGCCAGUCUGCGUGGAGCCAACCUUGAAAUACCACCCUUUAAUGGCUGGUGUUCUAACGUAGACCCGUAAUCCGGGUUGCGGACAGUGUCUGGUGGGUAGUUUGACUGGGGCGGUCUCCUCCCAAAGAGUAACGGAGGAGCACGAAGGUUGGCUAAUCCUGGUCGGACAUCAGGAGGUUAGUGCAAUGGCAUAAGCCAGCUUGACUGCGAGCGUGACGGCGCGAGCAGGUGCGAAAGCAGGUCAUAGUGAUCCGGUGGUUCUGAAUGGAAGGGCCAUCGCUCAACGGAUAAAAGGUACUCCGGGGAUAACAGGCUGAUACCGCCCAAGAGUUCAUAUCGACGGCGGUGUUUGGCACCUCGAUGUCGGCUCAUCACAUCCUGGGGCUGAAGUAGGUCCCAAGGGUAUGGCUGUUCGCCAUUUAAAGUGGUACGCGAGCUGGGUUUAGAACGUCGUGAGACAGUUCGGUCCCUAUCUGCCGUGGGCGCUGGAGAAUUGAGGGGGGCUGCUCCUAGUACGAGAGGACCGGAGUGGACGCAUCACUGGUGUUCGGGUUGUCAUGCCAAUGGCACUGCCCGGUAGCUAAAUGCGGAAGAGAUAAGUGCUGAAAGCAUCUAAGCACGAAACUUGCCCCGAGAUGAGUUCUCCCUGAGACUUUAAGUCUCCUGAAGGAACGUUGAAGACGACGACGUUGAUAGGUCGGGUGUGUAAGCGCAGCGAUGCGUUGAGCUAACCGAUACUAAUGAACCGUGAGGCUUAACCUUACAACGCCGAAGGUGUUU
RNAcentral lists this ribosomal RNA (2932 nucleotides) under Enterobacter hormaechei. Its description in RNAcentral is "23S ribosomal RNA". It matches the Rfam family "Bacterial large subunit ribosomal RNA". Lineage: Bacteria; Pseudomonadati; Pseudomonadota; Gammaproteobacteria; Enterobacterales; Enterobacteriaceae. The record is from RNAcentral.